Molecule: non-coding RNA, 72 nt
Organism: Danionella cerebrum
Lineage: Eukaryota; Metazoa; Chordata; Actinopteri; Cypriniformes; Danionidae
Source: the annotation of a GenBank genome assembly
GGCUCGUUGGUCUAGGGGUAUGAUUUUCACUUAUGAUGCAAGAGGUCCCGGGUUCAAAUCCAGAACGAGCCC